GACGAACGCUGGCGGCGUGCUUAACACAUGCAAGUCGAACGGAAAGGCCCUGCUUGCAGGGUACUCGAGUGGCGAACGGGUGAGUAACACGUGGGUGAUCUGCCCUGCACUUCGGGAUAAGCUUGGGAAACUGGGUCUAAUACCGGAUAGGAGCCAUCUUUAGUGUGGUGGUUGGAAAGUUUUUUCGGUGUAGGAUGAGCUCGCGGCCUAUCAGCUUGUUGGUGGGGUAAUGGCCUACCAAGGCGGCGACGGGUAGCCGGCCUGAGAGGGUGUACGGCCACAUUAGAACUGAGAUACAGCCCAGACUCCUACGGGAGGCAGCAGGGGGGAAUAUUGCACAAUGGGCGCAAGCCUGAUGCAGCGACGCCGCGUGGGGGAUGAAGGCCUUCGGGUUGUAAACUCCUUUCGCUAGGGACGAAGCUUUUUUGUGACGGUACCUAGAUAAGAAGCACCGGCUAACUACGUG
This 466-nucleotide ribosomal RNA is filed under the name uncultured bacterium. RNAcentral describes it as "partial 16S ribosomal RNA". It matches the Rfam family "Bacterial small subunit ribosomal RNA", at positions 28 to 507 of the family's 1533-position model. The record is from RNAcentral.